This is an RNA transcript of Sesamum indicum (sesame), 758 nucleotides long. RefSeq lists it as uncharacterized. Lineage: Eukaryota; Viridiplantae; Streptophyta; Magnoliopsida; Lamiales; Pedaliaceae. The record is from RefSeq and is a predicted model, not a curated record.
AUCCCUUGAAAACUCUAAUUUUUCUGAAUUCGAAGUUAAAUUGAAGUUUUUAACUUGCAUCUGUUGAUGGGAUGCAGGCGAGUGACAGGUUUAAUAUCAAUUCACAGCUCGAGCAUUUACAGGCUAAAUAUGUGGGCACAGGCCACGCCGACUUGACUCGAUUGUGCAUACCCUUACGGCAAUCCUGUUUAUUUUCAACUUGUAUUAGGUAAUGUGUUACGUUUGUUGUUGAUGAUGUUCUCAAGUAUCUGGCGAAAACAAAAUUGAUUUACAGUGAAUGCCAAUCGGGAUAGCUACGCUUCUUAUAUUGGACAUUACCCGAUUCUGCCCUACUUCUCCGGCGGAAAACGAAUCUAUUGGGCGAGAGCGCUACAAUUUUAUGCAGAGACGGCAACAGGACGGGUAUGAAGCCAUUUGGGUGGAUUCGGGACCAGUCCCGCCGACUCCAGUCAUCGUCAAGUUACCUGAUUUUUGGGAUGCAAAAAACCUCUACUCAUUGUGAAGCCUAGUUCCAAGAGUUGUUUAAAAUUGUAUCCCUUGUAAAUUGUGUUUAAAGCAACUUUAUAUUUUUGCAACCCGGAAAGGAAAAAGGUGAUAGUUGUGAGACAAGAAAUUAUUGUAAAAAUCUAAUAAAAGGAAAACAUGUAACAAAAUUAGAUGGACAACUAACCAACUUGUAGGAAGUGACAACGUUUGGGUCACCUACUAUUUGUUUUAUGUUUCUUGUCAAGUGAAAGCAACAUCUCACACUCUUUGCA